UCAUUCUGUAGACCAGGCUGCCCUCCAGAGU
Molecule: non-coding RNA, 31 nt
Filed under: Rattus norvegicus (Norway rat)
Lineage: Eukaryota; Metazoa; Chordata; Mammalia; Rodentia; Muridae
Source: RNAcentral